ACGAACGCUGGCGGCGUGCUUAACACAUGCAAGUCGAACGGAAAGGCCCUGCUUUUGUGGGGUGCUCGAGUGGCGAACGGGUGAGUAACACGUGAGUAACCUGCCCUUGACUUUGGGAUAACUUCAGGAAACUGGGGCUAAUACCGGAUAGGAGCUCCUGCUGCAUGGUGGGGGUUGGAAAGUUUCGGCGGUUGGGGAUGGACUCGCGGCUUAUCAGCUUGUUGGUGGGGUAGUGGCUUACCAAGGCUUUGACGGGUAGCCGGCCUGAGAGGGUGACCGGCCACAUUGGGACUGAAAUACGGCCCAGACUCCUACGGGAGGCAGCAGUGGGGAAUAUUGCACAAUGGGCGGAAGCCUGAUGCAGCAACGCCGCGUGCGGGAUGACGGCCUUCGGGUUGUAAACCGCUUUCGCCUGUGACGAAGCGUGAGUGACGGUAAUGGGUAAAGAAGCACCGGCUAACUACGUG
RNAcentral lists this ribosomal RNA (467 nucleotides) under uncultured bacterium. RNAcentral describes it as "partial 16S ribosomal RNA". It matches the Rfam family "Bacterial small subunit ribosomal RNA", at positions 29 to 507 of the family's 1533-position model. The record is from RNAcentral.